This is a long non-coding RNA of Neoarius graeffei (lesser salmon catfish), 505 nucleotides long. RefSeq lists it as uncharacterized. The transcript is spliced from 3 exons. The record is from RefSeq and is a predicted model, not a curated record. NCBI's taxonomy places the organism in Eukaryota, Metazoa, Chordata, Actinopteri, Siluriformes, Ariidae.
AAGGAGAUUAGAUUGGUUCACCCCCAGGGUUAAAUGUGCUCUAUGUUUUCUGUUUCUUAUCAACACAGGAAUAGUGUCAACAUCGGAUCCCAGCUUUUUUCUACAUCCAUUUGCAGGGACCCAGAGUACAUCAAACAAGACUUUCUAAAUGUUCCAUUUGGUUUGAGGGUGAAAGGACUGGAGAUGACAUAAAUCCUCUGAAAGGUCCUCACCGGCCAUGGGGAUCGAACCCUCUUGCUGUGAGGUGACAGCGCUAACCACUACACCACCGUGCUGCCCUGGAUUCAAAGAAACCUGUACGCAGGCACCAUUUGCUUUGCCCAGUCUGUUUUAGGACCCAAGAAACACUGUCAUGUCAUCUGCGCAGAUCGUGCAUGAAAGACAGCCCUGAAGCUGUCGUUGAAACGGUGGUCGAAAAGGCCAAGGAUGAUGUUUUCCAUCUCCUGAAGGAUGGCAGGACUUUCGACUAUGUGGUCCUUACUCAAAUAAUGGCUGAUGGCAAUCC